RNAcentral lists this ribosomal RNA (254 nucleotides) under uncultured bacterium. Its description in RNAcentral is "partial 16S ribosomal RNA". It matches the Rfam family "Bacterial small subunit ribosomal RNA", at positions 524 to 776 of the family's 1533-position model. The record is from RNAcentral.
UACGUAGGCAGCAAGCGUUGUUCGGAGUUACUGGGCGUAAAGGGCGCGUAGGCGGCCACCGCAAGUCGAUUGUGAAAUCUCCGGGCUUAACCCGGAAAGGUCAACCGAUACUGCGGGGCUAGAGUGCAGAAGGGGCAACUGGAAUUCUCGGUGUAGCGGUGAAAUGCGUAGAUAUCGAGAGGAACACCUGCGGCGAAGGCGGGUUGCUGGGCUGACACUGACGCUGAAGUGCGAAAGCUAGGGGAGCGAACGGG